RNAcentral lists this ribosomal RNA (475 nucleotides) under Virgibacillus sp. yjnuKRDMCS1. RNAcentral describes it as "bacterial SSU rRNA". It matches the Rfam family "Bacterial small subunit ribosomal RNA", at positions 39 to 493 of the family's 1533-position model. Lineage: Bacteria; Bacillati; Bacillota; Bacilli; Caryophanales; Bacillaceae. The record is from RNAcentral.
UUGGCGUGCUUAACACAUGCAAGUCGAGCGCGGGAAGCAAGCAGAUCUCCUUCGGGGGUGACGCUUGUGGAACGAGCGGCGGACGGGUGAGUAACACGUGGGCAACCUACCUGUAAGACUGGGAUAACUCCGGGAAACCGGGGCUAAUACCGGAUGAUACAUAUCGUCGCAUGACGAGAUGUUGAAAGGCGGCAUAUGCUGUCACUUACAGAUGGGCCCGCGGCGCAUUAGCUAGUUGGUGAGAUAAAAGCUCACCAAGGCGACGAUGCGUAGCCGACCUGAGAGGGUGAUCGGCCACACUGGGACUGAGACACGGCCCAGACUCCUACGGGAGGCAGCAGUAGGGAAUCUUCCGCAAUGGACGAAAGUCUGACGGAGCAACGCCGCGUGAGUGAUGAAGGUUUUCGGAUCGUAAAACUCUGUUGUUAGGGAAGAACAAGUGCCAUCGAAUAGGUGGCUCUGAUCUUUCAAGCAG